UAUUAUUUCGAUAUUUCAUGCGUUGAGUGGGUUUUCAAGAGUAGAUUCGAUCCUCCCUAUAUCCUCCCGCAUCACAUAUAAUGACUAGUACUGUGACAUCCCAAAUACUAAUUAAGGUAAAUAGGUGUCAGAUACAGAAACAGAAUAACGACUGCAUGAUAAAAUUUAAUGCGGCGAAACAAAUUAAUAUAAAUCUCUUACAAAUAUAUUUAAGUUCCAAUUACAUAUAUAUAACCAAGGCCAGAAGUAGCUACAAAAUACAAGGUCAAAAUACAGAAGAAUGCCACUUCUUUCACUAUGCUAUUGGACUCAUCAGAGUGUGGAAUAAAUCAUCCACUCAAGUUUUGUGGAUCCAUGGGAUCCUCAUAGACUUCAAUGGGUAGGUCAGCUUGCAGUUCCU
Molecule: long non-coding RNA, 400 nt
Filed under: Carica papaya (papaya)
Lineage: Eukaryota; Viridiplantae; Streptophyta; Magnoliopsida; Brassicales; Caricaceae
Description: long non-coding RNA (CPAP_LNC005808)
Source: RNAcentral